RNAcentral lists this ribosomal RNA (449 nucleotides) under uncultured bacterium. RNAcentral's name for it is "bacterial SSU rRNA". It matches the Rfam family "Bacterial small subunit ribosomal RNA", at positions 354 to 796 of the family's 1533-position model. The record is from RNAcentral.
GUCGAGGAUCUUUAGCAAUGCCCGAAAGGGUGACUAUGCGACGCCGCGUGCAGGAUGACGGCCUUCGGGUUGUAAACUGCUGUCAGGGGGGAAGAAACCUUACGUGUUAACAGCGCGUAAGCUGACAUCACCCCCAAAGGAAGCCACGGCUAACUCUGUGCCAGCAGCCGCGGUAAGACAGAGGUGGCAAGCGUUGUUCGGAUUUAUUGGGUGUAAAGGGUCCGUAGGUGGUCUAUUAAGUCUGAUGUGAAAUCCCAUGGCUCAACCGUGGAACUGCAUUGGAAACUGAUGGACUUGAGUAUCGGAGAGGUAAAGGGAAUUCUCGGUGUAAGGGUGAAAUCUGUAGAUAUCGAGAGGAACACCAGUGGCGAAAGCGCUUUACUGGCCGAUUACUGACACUGAGGGACGAAAGCAAGGGGAGCAAACAGGAUUAGAAACCCGGGUAGUCC